CGCUAGUAAUCGCGCAUCAGCCAUGGCGCGGUGAAUACGUUCCCGGGCCUUGUACACACCGCCCGUCAAGCCAUGAAAGGCCGGGGGUACCUGAAGUACGUAACCGCAAGGAGCGUCCUAGGGUAAAACUGGUAAUUGGGGCUAAGUCGUAACAAGGUAGC
RNAcentral lists this ribosomal RNA (161 nucleotides) under uncultured bacterium. Its description in RNAcentral is "partial 16S ribosomal RNA". It matches the Rfam family "Bacterial small subunit ribosomal RNA", at positions 1333 to 1500 of the family's 1533-position model. The record is from RNAcentral.